AGCCUCAUUCUACUGAAAAUGGGCACGUUGUUCACGGUGUCCAUAAACUGUUAAUGUGGCUAUAUUGAGAAUACAGGUUCUGCUUCUAUUACUGUAAUUUUAUUGCAGCGGUGACAAUGGGAUCUGUUAACAUAU
This is a small nucleolar RNA of Capra hircus (goat), 135 nucleotides long. The record is from Ensembl. NCBI's taxonomy places the organism in Eukaryota, Metazoa, Chordata, Mammalia, Artiodactyla, Bovidae.